UGCAAGCUCAGUUGGGAGAGCAUGAGACACUUAAUCUCAGGGUGGCUGGUUCAAGCCCGACAUUGGGCAAAA
Podarcis lilfordi (Lilford's wall lizard) is the source of this 72-nucleotide non-coding RNA. The record is from the annotation of a GenBank genome assembly. Lineage: Eukaryota; Metazoa; Chordata; Lepidosauria; Squamata; Lacertidae.